CUUCGGCUCUCAUUUUGAACACCAACAAAAGAGAGAAAAAGAGUAAGAUUUCACAGACAAAGUAUAAGAAAAUAGUCUGUGAAGAAAAUAGAGAGUGAGCCAUAUUGUAGUGAGGUGGAAUAUCAAAAGAGAGUUAUUUCUUUUGAGUGUUGUAGGGGUCUUUGGAGUAUUUUACUCGGACCUACAAAGUGUAAAAAUUCCUUACUAUAGUGAUAUCAGUUGUUCCUCUCAGGGUCGUGAUUUUUUCCCUUAUUCAGAAGGGUUUUCCACGUAAAAAUCGUGGUGUCAUUGUUACUUAUUUAUUCUUGUUAAUUACCGUAUCUCGGUGCUACACUAUUAUUCCGCUUUUAUUACCAUGAAUAUUAUUUUGGUAGGGGGUUUAUUCCCAAC
Molecule: long non-coding RNA, 390 nt
Filed under: Nicotiana benthamiana
Lineage: Eukaryota; Viridiplantae; Streptophyta; Magnoliopsida; Solanales; Solanaceae
Description: long non-coding RNA (NBEN_LNC017141)
Source: RNAcentral